This 314-nucleotide unclassified non-coding RNA is filed under the name plant metagenome. Its description in RNAcentral is "partial contains 5.8S ribosomal RNA, internal transcribed spacer 2, and large subunit ribosomal RNA". The stretch from base 1 to 105 matches the Rfam family "5.8S ribosomal RNA", at positions 50 to 154 of the family's 154-position model. The record is from RNAcentral.
GAAAUGCGAUAAUUAAUGUGAAUUGCAGAAUUCAGUGAAUCAUCGAGUCUUUGAACGCACAUUGCGCCCCCUGGUAUUCCGGGGGGCAUGCCUGUCCGAGCGUCAUUGCUGCCCUCAAGCACGGCUUGUGUGUUGGGCUUCCGUCCCUGGCAACGGGGACGGGCCCAAAAGGCAGUGGCGGCACCAUGUCUGGUCCUCGAGCGUAUGGGGCUUUGUCACCCGCUCCCGUAGGUCCAGCUGGCAGCUAGCCUCGCAACCAAUCUUUUUAACCAGGUUGACCCCGGAUCAGGUAGGGAUACCCGCUGCACUUAAGC